GCCUCCCCCCUCUCCGCCCUGUCCUGCCCUGCCCUGCUUCACCCUGCCCCCGGCCCCGCCUCCGGCCCUGCCCGCCCUGCAGAGUUUGGCGUGUGUGUUCCCUGCCUUCAAGGAGGUGACCGAGGCGCCCGGCCCGCACCUGGCUGAGAUCGACGAGCACACGCCCAACAGCCGCGUGUUCCGCAACUAUGCCGGCAUGGUGCAGGAGUGAGUGGCGGUGUGUGUGUGUGUGUGUGUGUGUGUGUGCGUUACCUAAAAGCAUACAGAAGCCCGCCCAGACGGGGCAGGAGUUACUUGUGUAGUUGUGUGUGUGUGUGUGUGUGUGUGUGUGUGUGUGUUAGGGGAGGGAAAGGGGAACUGGCACAUACUGUGUCCGCGCUCAUGCGUGCGUGGCGUGACUCGAGCGGGGAGGAGCGGCGGAUGGCAAGGGACAGGGGCGCAGUGGUUGCAAUGUGGAGGUUGACGAGUGCGGGAUCAUCGGGCAUCAAUGGCCGCUGCGCAGCGGCUGCUGCAUCAUGGACAUUCUGUGUUAUGGAGAUUUCUGUUGUCCUGACAGUUAUGUGCCUGCUGGCCCCACACACACACUCACGCGCACAGGGACCAAGAGGAGGGCAAUGACGCGUACGCGCUCAAGAACGGCUGGGUGGCUGUCACGCCGCUGAGCUUGCUUUCGCACAUCCAGCUGGGACAGGUGCGUGGCCCGUGUUUUUGUUUAUUCGGUACCGUACGUGCAUGUGUGUGUGUGCGUAAUAAACGAAACGAAAGCCCGCUCAGACGUGUGCGUGUGCGCGCGUGCGGUUUGCAAGGUGCUACUCACACUCCCGCGCAUCCCUGCUAUGUACCACCCCUCAACCCUUUGCCGCCACGGCUGCUGCCGCCGUGGCUUGCUGGCUUGCAGGACCCCCGCGCGGAGAACGUGGUGAACGCCGUGUCUCAGAUCGUCACCCGGGCGGCGGCGGAGGCUGGUCUCUCGACCGGCGGUAUUCCCGCCAAGCUCUGAACGUCAGGUGUCGGUGCAAAUGCCGAUUGGAGCCAGGUUGCGGCACAACGACCAAAUGCCGUGGCGUGUGUCGAUGACCAGGCCUGUCUGGCGCUCGCGGCGGUGGCAUAGUAGGCGGUAGGCGGAGUAAAGCUAUCUCGCGCGAGGGAGCCCAAUAGCUAAAUUGCGGUGGCACUUGCAUGGUGACUGUAUUAGGACAUUCGGAUCUCGGGAUGUGUGUCUCGGACGGGGCACAGAGACUACACUAUGGCGUGGCGUGGCGGGCGGGCCUCUCAUGCCCGCUCCGCAGCUGGGUGCCGGCGUUGACGCUACAGAUGGAGCGGCUGCGAGUGCUUCCCUGAGACGAAGCAUUGUGCGCCGGCCAGUGAGCUUCUGUGCAAGCUGCCGCGAUGAUGGGCCAUUCCGUACACUGUCGGCUGUUGUGGUCCAUUUCCUGGGGGGAAAGGCUGCUGGAAAAGCAGCAGCAGGCAUACGGGGGGAAGGGGCAGGGCUCCUUCCGCACCAAAACAUGAGCAGCAACAGGGCUACUGUGUCAGGCGCUACGCAGCAUUCUCAAUAACAUCAUCUGGGGGCUCUGUGCAGCCGUGCAUGGUGGUUGCCAGCACGCCGAGGUGCACCCCAGUGGGACAGGGACACGGGCAGACAGGGUUAGGGAUAGAGGCUGCUAAGUGGAGGGACGGUACGCUUGACAACGGCAGGGUGAGGGAUUAGGCCAGAACAUGAUUGGGGACAGAGCUUGCAACGGGGCAGACGGAACGUGAUUGCCGGCGGCGAGGCGGGGCCAUGGACGGGGCUACGGGCAGGGCGACGCCACGGUUACUCGCACUGCCCAGCCGUUCACCUGUGCUGACAUGCAUGGCAGUCUGGCAGACCUCACGCAAGACCACUGGAUGAGGCGUGGCCGUGUGGGGCUCGUCGUCGCACUCAGCUGUUGGCAGGCCCCCGCUAGUUGCCCUGUGUCCGCCCUCUUCGGUGCUCAGCCUGACCAAGGCCUUGGGGGCGCCGGCAACCACAAACCCAACUGAGGCUGUAUACUUGGACGCAACCCAUCCGUGGCCAGGUUUCUAUCGACGUCCUCCGACAGUGAAGGGUUCCGCAAAACCGCCUCACCGACAUGUGAGACAUGCGACAUGUGCCCUCAGGUCUCUCAGCCCCUGUGCUCCUGGAGCGCUACGUUAUGCGCAGCAUGACCAUCGCAGCUACUCAAGAAAACAAAAGACCAUAAGCUGUGAGCCGUUGACUGAGUUGACCGUCGCGAAACAGCGUCCUUUCUCAGCAAGCCUUGCCAGCCGAACCCGAAUUUAUUUACCUUCACGGCAAUACACCAUGUACGUUUUGAAUGCCUGCAAUCGGGUUUCGGCCUCGCCCUGGGCCUGCUAAGAAAUUCACAACUCCCCGCGAGAAUGCUGGCCGUGCACUCAAUUAAAUAUGCUCAUGCAAGUAAGCUGAUUACAUGCAUAUUUGAGGAGCGGGGCGGGGCCAUUCCUCCAGGAAAUGGGGAACUCCUACCACAACCUCCUACAAUGUACGGAAUGGCCCAUCGCCGCGGGCAGCUUGCACUUAAGCUUGCCGGCCGGCGCGCACAGAUUCACCUUCAGGCAAGCACUCGCAGCCGCUCCAUCUGUAGCGUCGACCUUUCAGAACCACUCCAAAACAAUGGCCACUAUCUCGUCGAUGCGCGUUGGCGCUGCUUCCCGCGUGGUCGUCUCUGGCCGCGUGAAGGUGAGGCACUUGAUCGCACUUCUUCUUCAGUAGUGUCAAGGCGGCAGGUUCAUGGCGCGGCUUGAUAGGCGACCAGAGCGACUUGCAAGCUUGGCCUCGGCGCAAAUGCCGUUACACGACCGCGCUUGCUUGGCUUCGCGCGCCGAGCAGCGCAGCUGCAUGGCAAUGGUUGUUAUGAUCAUAGUCUCCACCACGCCUUGCUCUUCAGCCUUUCUGAUGCGACUGUUACUGUCCUUCGCGCGCCCUUGCAGACCGUGAAGGUCGCCGCCCGCGGCAGCUGGCGCGAGUCUUCCACUGCCACCGUGCAGGCCAGGUGAGCACACUUCUGCAGCUAUGAGAUGCAUCUGGGUCCAGCUUAAAGCGGCUCGCGUUGUGUGGCGCGCCGCGAUCCCUUAUCCGCUCGCCUGCCAGCCGGGCCUUUUCGCACUUGUUUCCUAAGUCAAGUUCGAACCUGCAGCUGGCUGUGCAUAUCUUGCUAAGUGAUAGCGCGGUUGUACGCGGUUUGAGUACGCUGCUCAACUGGUGUACUGACACGUUUGCUUGCCGUUUCCCCUGGUGCCCCUUCGCCCCUGCAGCCGCGCCUCGUCGGCCACCAACCGCGUGAGCCCCACCCGCUCCGUCCUGCCCGCCAACUGGCGCCAGGAGCUGGAGAGCCUGCGCAACGGCAACGGCUCCUCCUCGGCUGCCUCGUCGGCCCCCGCCCCGGCCCGCUCCUCGUCGGCCAGCUGGCGCGACGCCGCCCCGGCCUCGUCGGCCCCUGCCCGCUCCAGCUCUGCCUCCAAGAAGGCCGUGACCCCGUCGCGCAGCGCCCUGCCCUCCAACUGGAAGCAGGAGCUGGAGAGCCUGCGCAGCAGCUCCCCCGCCCCCGCCUCGUCGGCCCCCGCCCCGGCCCGCUCCUCGUCGGCCAGCUGGCGUGAUGCCGCCCCGGCCUCGUCGGCCCCCGCCCGCUCCAGCUCCUCCAAGAAGGCUGUGACCCCGUCGCGCAGCGCCCUGCCCUCCAACUGGAAGCAGGAGCUGGAGAGCCUGCGCAGCAGCUCCCCCGCCCCCGCCUCGUCGGCCCCUGCCCCGGCCCGCUCCUCGUCGGCCAGCUGGCGUGACGCCGCCCCGGCCUCGUCGGCCCCUGCCCGCUCCAGCUCUGCCUCCAAGAAGGCCGUGACCCCGUCGCGCAGCGCCCUGCCCUCCAACUGGAAGCAGGAGCUGGAGAGCCUGCGCAGCAACUCCCCUGCCCCCGCCUCGUCGGCCCCUGCCCCGGCCCGCUCCUCGUCGGCCAGCUGGCGUGACGCCCCCGCCUCGAGCUCCAGCUCGAGCGCCGACAAGGCCGGCACCAACCCCUGGACUGGCAAGUCCAAGCCCGAGAUCAAGCGCACCGCCCUGCCCGCUGACUGGCGC
Molecule: long non-coding RNA, 4111 nt
Filed under: Chlamydomonas reinhardtii
Lineage: Eukaryota; Viridiplantae; Chlorophyta; Chlorophyceae; Chlamydomonadales; Chlamydomonadaceae
Description: long non-coding RNA (CREI_LNC000870)
Source: RNAcentral